Molecule: ribosomal RNA, 843 nt
Filed under: Cancellidium atrobrunneum
Lineage: Eukaryota; Fungi; Ascomycota; Sordariomycetes; Cancellidiaceae
Description: partial large subunit ribosomal RNA
Rfam family: Eukaryotic large subunit ribosomal RNA
Source: RNAcentral
CAGGGAUUGCCCUAGUAACGGCGAGUGAAGCGGCAACAGCUCAAAUUUGAAAUCUGGCUCACGCCCGAGUUGUAAUUUGUAGAGGAUGCUUUUGGUGCGGUGCCUUCUGAGUUCCCUGGAACGGGACGCCAGAGAGGGUGAGAGCCCCGUAUAGUUGGACACCAAACCUCUGUAAAGCUCCUUCGACGAGUCGAGUAGUUUGGGAAUGCUGCUCAAAAUGGGAGGUAAAUUUCUUCUAAAGCUAAAUACCGGCCAGAGACCGAUAGCGCACAAGUAGAGUGAUCGAAAGAUGAAAAGCACUUUGAAAAGAGGGUUAAACAGCACGUGAAAUUGUUGAAAGGGAAGCGCUUGUGACCAGACUUGCGCCUUGCGAAUCAUCCAGCGUUCUCGCUGGUGCACUUCGUUUGGCUCAGGCCAGCAUCGGUUUUCCCAGGGGGAUAAAGGCGUCGGGAACGUAGCUCUCUCCGGGGAGUGUUAUAGCCCGGCGUACAAUAUCCUUGGGGGGACCGAGGUUCGCGCUCUGCAAGGAUGCUGGCGUAAUGGUCAUCAGCGACCCGUCUUGAAACACGGACCAAGGAGUCAAGCAUUAGGGCGAGUGUUUGGGUGUCAAACCCGCACGCGUAAUGAAAGUGAACGUAGGUGAGAGCUUCGGCGCAUCAUCGACCGAUCCUGAUGUAUUCGGAUGGAUUUGAGUAAGAGCCUUACCGCUUGGACCCGAAAGAUGGUGAACUAUGCUUGUAUAGGGUGAAGCCAGAGGAAACUCUGGUGGAGGCUCGCAGCGGUUCUGACGUGCAAAUCGAUCGUCAAAUAUGAGCAUGGGGGCGAAAGACUAAUCGAACCAUC